Molecule: long non-coding RNA, 125 nt
Organism: Bufo bufo (common toad)
Lineage: Eukaryota; Metazoa; Chordata; Amphibia; Anura; Bufonidae
Exons: 4
Source: RefSeq, a predicted model, not a curated record
GCCUCAGCUGCCAGCACUGAUGGGGUCACAUAGAAUUAUAUUGAUUUAUGAUGCUAUGUAACCCUUACAGUUCUGGAAUGUAUUGGAUAACACUGGCAACAUUAUGGUGGAUGUGGAGAUGGUGG